GGGGUUGUGGCUCAAUGGCAGAGUACUUGCCUAGCAUGUAUGAGGCACUGGGUUCGAUCCUCAGCAACACAU
This 72-nucleotide transfer RNA is filed under the name Marmota marmota marmota (Alpine marmot). It matches the Rfam family "tRNA". Rfam says of the family: Transfer RNA (tRNA) molecules are approximately 80 nucleotides in length. Their secondary structure includes four short double-helical elements and three loops (D, anti-codon, and T loops). The record is from Rfam by way of RNAcentral. RNAcentral also lists the same sequence under 1 other name. Lineage: Eukaryota; Metazoa; Chordata; Mammalia; Rodentia; Sciuridae.